RNAcentral lists this ribosomal RNA (498 nucleotides) under uncultured bacterium. RNAcentral describes it as "partial 16S ribosomal RNA". It matches the Rfam family "Bacterial small subunit ribosomal RNA", at positions 28 to 507 of the family's 1533-position model. The record is from RNAcentral.
GACGAACGCUGGCGGCAUGCCUAAUACAUGCAAGUUGAACGAUGAUAUUCUCUGCUUGCAGAGAAUUGAAGAGUAGCGAACGGGUGAGUAACACGUGGGGAACCUGCCCAUGAGAGGGGGAUAACAUUCGGAAACGGACGCUAAUACCGCAUAAUGCUUUGGACCGCCUGGUCCAGAGACGAAAUUCGGCUUUUGCUGUCACUCAUGGAUGGCCCCGCGCCGUAUUAGCUAGUUGGUGGGGUAAUGGCUCACCAAGGCUGUGAUACGUAGCCGACCUGAGAGGCUGAUCGGCCACACUGGGACUGAGACGCGGCCCAGACGCCUACGGGAGGCAGCAGUAGGGAAUCUUCCACAGUGGGCGAAAGCAUGAUGGAGCAAUGCCGCGUGAAUGAAGAAGGUCUUCGGAUCGUAAAGUUCUGUUAUUAGAGAAAAACAAGUCAAGGAGUAACUGUCUUGAGUUUGACGGUACCUAACCAGAAAGUCACGGCUAACUACGUG